RNAcentral lists this ribosomal RNA (466 nucleotides) under uncultured bacterium. RNAcentral describes it as "partial 16S ribosomal RNA". It matches the Rfam family "Bacterial small subunit ribosomal RNA", at positions 28 to 507 of the family's 1533-position model. The record is from RNAcentral.
GAUGAACGCUGGCGGCGUGCUUAACACAUGCAAGUCGAACGGAAAGGCCCAAGCUUGCUUGGGUACUCGAGUGGCGAACGGGUGAGUAACACGUGGGUGAUCUGCCCUGCACUUCGGGAUAAGCCUGGGAAACUGGGUCUAAUACCGGAUAGGACCACAUUUUGGAUGGUGGGGUGGAAAGUUUUUCGGUGUGGGUUGAGCUCGCGGCCUAUCAGCUUGUUGGUGGGGUAAUGGCCUACCAAGGCGUCGACGGGUAGCCGGCCUGAGAGGGUGUACGGCCACAUUGGGACUGAGAUACGGCCCAGACUCCUACGGGAGGCAGCAGUGGGGAAUAUUGCACAAUGGGCGCAAGCCUGAUGCAGCGACGCCGCGUGGGGGAUGACGGCCUUCGGGUUGUAAACUCCUUUCGCUAGGGACGAAGCGUUAUGUGACGGUACCUGGAGAAGAAGCACCGGCUAACUACGUG